UAUGCAGGAUAUAUGAUGUGCAACCCCCGUGAAAGGGUCAUUCAACCCCCAAAGGCAUCACGAUCCACAGGUUGAGAACUGCUACUCUAGCGAUUACACUAGGAUGACUGUUUCAAAGGGCUAGCUGACCUUGGGGUUGGGAGACACUAAAUAUUACAGAGUUAUAUUACAGAAAAGGUACUGCAUUUGCUGCAAUGCUUUGGUCUGCCUUCAUUAUAGUUCAUCGUGCAGGCCUGAGGCCCCUCUGUGAGUUCAGCUGGACAAAGUAGCUGCGGUGCCCCAUGGGAGUAAGCAUGACUGAGCAGAUCUUUAUUUCUCAAGAUCAGAUGUCAUUUGAAGAUAGAAGAAAGUGAUUCUGAAAACCUUUUUCCAAAUAAAACAAGCUUGUGAGAUUUUUGCUGCCAACAAAUCUAUUCCACUAUUCUUGAUUUCAGUUCUUUUACCAUGAAGGAAAGAUUCUGGAUGAAACCCCUCUGAAAGCUGAGUGAGCAGCAUCAUCUCCUUCCACUGGAUCCUGUGGUGGACACAUGUGUAACUCAGUCUGUACCAUCUAGCCCAGUGGAUUUUAUCUUACUUUCUCUGGAAAGUAAAUAUCAUUCUUUUGCUAGGAUUGAGAUACAUCACCAGGAGCAAGAGGUGAGGAAGGCGCCUAGGGAAACAAUUUUUCUCCUGGGUCCUGAUCCUCCCUGUUUCAAGCCAUGCUCUUCACUCCCAUGUACAGCUCUGUCUGAUGCUGCCACUGUCUGCAUUCUUAAUGAUCCUUCAACAAAAAGCAAGACAGCUUUAAGUUUGACUUUCUUCAACUUGCUUGAUACUUUUUCUUGGUCACUUUUUUGGGGGGCUUC
Cricetulus griseus (Chinese hamster) is the source of this 845-nucleotide non-coding RNA. The record is from RefSeq and is a predicted model, not a curated record. Lineage: Eukaryota; Metazoa; Chordata; Mammalia; Rodentia; Cricetidae.